Non-coding RNA from Meleagris gallopavo (turkey), 828 nucleotides. The record is from RefSeq and is a predicted model, not a curated record. Lineage: Eukaryota; Metazoa; Chordata; Aves; Galliformes; Phasianidae.
GCUUUGCGUUAGCAAACACUGCAAGCCUGGGACUGGGCAGAUAGCCCAAAUUUGUUUUCUCACCUGAGGUGACACAAAUAGGCUACAUGGGAAUUUGCAGUUGCAUUGAAAAUGGUGUUUUUGAUUUGUUUUCCUUUUUUUUUUUGCAUAGGGAGAGAAGGGGAAGUUGAAGACAGCUGUUGUUUUUGAUGAGGCUCACUGCUGCUUCUGACUCCCUCCUGCUGUAAGCAGAAAAGCUGGGUGACUCCUGCAGCUGAGCUGCUUCACAGUCUGUUCUGCUGGGGCUGGAUCUCACCUGUGUGUUGCAUGGCUAAGCAUGAAGUUCCAUGGCCUUGGAAUGGCCUUGGAAUGAAGGUACCUGAGCUGUAAGGUUUACUCAGAAGAAGAAGGCUUUGGCUUAGAAGAGACAACCAACCUGAGUAAGGCGGGAGCUGUCUCUGGCAGUAUCCGUGGGUGAGUGCCACUGACGUCAUCGUGGAAUUGUGCUGAUGCUGUGGGCAGAAAUCUUAAGAAAUUGCCCCGAAUGUUGUUACUGGAGAAGAGUGGAGAUGGAAGGAAACUGUCUGAGCAUAUGUGGGUUCUGCAUUGCUGUAUAUGAUCUGACUUCAUUUGCUCUGAUUUUCCCCUGAAUGGUGGUUGUAGAUGUUAUGUUUGCAAUCACCAGGCAGUUUAAUUCAAAAACGGUUGAAGAUAGCAGGUCUCCAACCCUCAGUUUUGCUUUGCUUUGGAUCUCAGCAUUUGUCCUAUUUCCAAGAAGGCAGUUACAGCUUACAAUGCUGAAGUCCUUUUUUCUUUUAAAAAAUAAAUAUUAUUUGACAAUGACUUGUC